AUAGUACAGGUUUGACUUGGCGUUUUCUUCGGGACAAACAAAAUGGUCAUAACAAAGAGGUGCUGUUAUUAACGGGGCAGUUUUAAGGCAUGAUUCCCUUUAUUGCGCGCCUUUCCAAAUGAAUGCGUAACCAAUAAGCUUGGCAAAGUGUACACUAAGGAACAAACAGUCACUUUAGACAGUCAACUAGAAACCAUUCCAGUUCUCCUUUCGUAGUUAAUUUGACCUCCUAGCAAGUGUCACGAUGUCGUCACACAAUGCUUAUACGUUGUAAUGUGGAUUGGUGUUGCGUGAUAAGGAGACUGCCAGGUCAAAGACAAGCCGUGCUGUACUAUAUAAAGGGGACAGUUGGAGCGUAACCACAGCAAAGUGUUGCGUGACAAUGCGAACAAGGAGCGCGAAGAAGUCAGAGUCUCUUUGGUAAUUACUGACGUUGUUGUUGUUGCUGUUGUUGUUGUUUAUCAGGAGCAUGCCUUUCACGUUGCACAAUUCUACGAGAAGCCGUCAUUAGGUCACACUCUUGGAUCCACUCUGCUAUCAUAGGUUGGAAAUCAGUUGUAGGACAAUGGGUUCGAAUGGAGGGUGUAUCUGUACUUGGCGAAGACGUCAUAGUUAAAGAUGAAUUAUAUAUCAACGGAGGAAGGAUACUUCCUCACAAAUCCAUCUCCGACUCGUCACCAGAGCCGCAGAUUAUCAUGUAAAUAGUGAAUUGCCAACGACAAAUUUCUAAUAUGACUCUAUUAGGUUUUUUAAUAAGUAGCUUUUGGUGAAGAUGUCGCUAUAAAAAAAAAAAAA
Molecule: long non-coding RNA, 795 nt
Organism: Orbicella faveolata
Lineage: Eukaryota; Metazoa; Cnidaria; Anthozoa; Scleractinia; Merulinidae
Source: RefSeq, a predicted model, not a curated record